AUGUAGGAAUAAAGAAAUAUAAGCUGUACACACUGCAACUGUUUUUGAGAUAUGAAUCAUCUUGGGGUCUAAAGUAACUGUUUUUUUUUUUUUAAACUACUAUCUCUGCUACAGGCCUUACAGUUAAACCACAUAACAGAGAGUUCAGACGAGUCUCUAUCCUGUGGUGCACAAAAAACAAAACAAAAACAAACCAGAGACAACAAUGACACAAUAAAAGGAGCAAUACGCUCAGGAAUACAGGAUGGGGUGGAUGUAAAGUGGCUUGUUAUUUCUCUCUUUUAUUAUCUGUGCAUUCUUUUGAUUGUGCAUUAACGUGAUUUGUUUGUCCAGAACCCGACUGG
This is a long non-coding RNA of Ictalurus punctatus (channel catfish), 344 nucleotides long. RefSeq lists it as uncharacterized. The transcript has 2 exons. NCBI's taxonomy places the organism in Eukaryota, Metazoa, Chordata, Actinopteri, Siluriformes, Ictaluridae. The record is from RefSeq and is a predicted model, not a curated record.